UACGUAGGUGGCAAGCGUUAUCCGGAAUUACUGGGCGUAAAGGGUCCGUCGGUGGGCGCGCAAGUCUGGUGUAACAGCCCCUGGCUUAACUGGGGGUAGCCACUGGAAACUACGCGUCUUGAGUCACGGAGAGGGGUGCGGAAUUCCGGGUGUAGUGGUGGAAUGCGUAGAGAUCCGGAGGAACACCAAAGGCGCAAGCAGCACCCUGGUCGAGGACUGACACUUCAGGACGAAAGUAUGGGGAGCAAACAGG
This 253-nucleotide ribosomal RNA is filed under the name uncultured bacterium. RNAcentral's name for it is "partial 16S ribosomal RNA". It matches the Rfam family "Bacterial small subunit ribosomal RNA", at positions 524 to 776 of the family's 1533-position model. The record is from RNAcentral.